Molecule: ribosomal RNA, 245 nt
Filed under: uncultured bacterium
Lineage: Bacteria
Description: partial 16S ribosomal RNA
Rfam family: Bacterial small subunit ribosomal RNA
Source: RNAcentral
UACGUAGGUGGCGAGCGUUGUCCGGAAUUACUGGGUGUAAAGGGCGUGUAGGCGGGAAUACAAGUCAGAUGUGAAAUACCGGGGCUUAACUCCGGGGCUGCAUCUGAAACUGUAUUUCUUGAGUACUGGAGAGGAAAGCGGAAUUCCUAGUGUAGCGGUGAAAUGCGUAGAUAUUAGGAGGAACACCAGUGGCGAAGGCGGCUUUCUGGACAGUAACUGACGCUGAGGCGCGAAAGCGUGGGGAG